Molecule: ribosomal RNA, 419 nt
Filed under: uncultured bacterium
Lineage: Bacteria
Description: bacterial SSU rRNA
Rfam family: Bacterial small subunit ribosomal RNA
Source: RNAcentral
AACGAACGCUGGCGGCAUGCCUAACACAUGCAAGUCGAACGAAGUCUUCGGACUUAGUGGCGCACGGGUGCGUAACGCGUGGGAAUCUGCCCUUGGGUGCGGAAUAACUUCUCGAAAGGGAUGCUAAUACCGCAUAAUGUCGUAAGACCAAAGAUUUAUCGCCCAAGGAUGAGCCCGCGUAAGAUUAGCUAGUUGGUGGGGUAAAAGCCUACCAAGGCGACGAUCUUUAGCUGGUCUGAGAGGAUGAUCAGCCACACUGGGACUGAGACACGGCCCAGACUCCUACGGGAGGCAGCAGUGGGGAAUAUUGGACAAUGGGCGAAAGCCUGAUCCAGCAGUGCCGCGUGAGUGAAGAAGGCCUCGGUUGUAAGACUCUUUUGUUCUAGGGAAGGAAACGGUAGGAGUUCUAAUACAGCUUG